This is a non-coding RNA of Zea mays, 3083 nucleotides long. NCBI's taxonomy places the organism in Eukaryota, Viridiplantae, Streptophyta, Magnoliopsida, Poales, Poaceae. The record is from RefSeq and is a predicted model, not a curated record.
AAUCACGUCACGGAAAUUUGUGGGAUGAGAAGUCUUGGAUGCAUAAUGCUAAAAGAUUUGGGGGAAUGAGGAGAGCUGUUGGAUGUUUUUUUUUCUUUCAAGUCCAAAAUGGGUUUUAGGGUAUGUUUUAAUGCCUCUUGGGAUGGCUCCGGGGAGCUCCAGCUCCCGGCCAAUCAACAUCCGACAGCCUAUAUGCGCAAGCGAGAAACAAUGCAGCGGCUUCGGCUCCGUUAAUUCCGUGAAAUAUGCUCUCACAGUAAAUGACUAUCUCCCAAGAGCAGCAAGAAAGUGGCUCCGUUGCCAGAGCCAAUGCAAUUGGAAGAAAAUCGGAGCCCGAGCAUUUUGGAGCCUCGCCCUUAGACCUUAGUGACCUUUUGGAGCUGCUAGCGCCCGCCCAUGUCGACUUGUUUUGAUGGGCCAGGCUCGUGUGGCCCGGCCGGCCCAAAUCCCCUCCCUUUGCUUCUCUCUCGCCGGAAUCUUGCGGACUUGCGGUCUUGCGGAGAACCAGAGCGCGCCAAGCCGCCGGCGUUCCCUCCGUCGCGUGGUACUCCACCCACUGCUUCUGGAAAUCUCUGGGCGCGCGUAAGUGAGUUCCACACUAACGCUCCUAGCAGUAAAUCCUAUUUUCUUCCCCCAUGUCCUCUUCUUCUUUUUUUCGCGUGGUAUCGCCAUGAGACGACCUCGAUUAGUUGCUGCCACUUGUUCCCGCCACCAAACUUGCAGAUUGGCGAGCAACUUGCUAAAAACUAGGGUUUCGACGAGUGGGGACGUGGAGGGACUAAAAUUUUGCGUGGAGAGCCAAGACAUUUGGAAAGACAAUUACAUGUUGCAAUUGGAUAACCGCUCCGCCGCUCGACGGGCGGCGUUGGCGUUGCGGCAGUGGGAUAUAUACUCAUGUGCCAGCGCGUAUGGUCGCGCGUCGGCGGCAGGCUCCAGCGGUGCGCGGCGCCCCCAGAAAAGUACAAAGCCUGGAGCAACUUGCGAGGGGAUCGAGAUUCGUUCAAACGAUGCACAAGCACAAGAAUUCCAGGUCCACUCGGUGGAUGCUAACUGUCUCCCUGUGAUAGCACAUGCAAAUAUCUUAUUCUGCUACAGAAGUACGUACGUUGGCUAGUUGCAACCUCUGCAGAAGGUAUGUAAAAUUAUUGAACUGAACUAAUUCGAUGAGCACUUAUUAUUAAUUGCUUGUUUUGGUUUAGUCAGGACUUAGUAUUUCUGGAAGGUCAGCGAUGCCCCUUGUGCUUAUUCUGACUGAUUGAGCGGGUUUUUUGGCAUCAGCCACUCAUUAAAGAACUGCUAGCUUCCUCGUGACAUGAGGUCAGUAUUAUUACAGCUCGCGUCUAGUUCGUUGGUCACCAUACAUACAACUACUGAGUGUGGACAGACGUAACGUAAGGGAAUCAUCCCUCUAUCCAUGUGGACUGCAGACUGGUCGACUGAGCCUUGCAGCUAAUUACUUUCUUAAACUGCUCGUUUUGUUAGUUCACACCCUAGCGCUAAUUAAGCUGUUAUGUUGAUCUACUAAUCGCUGAGACGAGGUACAUAUGUUUUCAUCAGUUACUUGCAUGGAAUGGAAGCUGACAAAUAAUUGCACUGGAGGGUUUACCGAAACAUUAGGGCUGGUUUGGUGACCAGUGAAUUGGAGGGGAUUCAUGGGAAGAAAUCCCCUUGCUAUUUAAAAUUGAAUAACAAGGAGAUUCCUCCCCAUGGAUCUCCUCCAAUUCCCUGAUCACCAAAUCAACCCUUAGUAUGGUCCGCUAUACGAAGUUUUUCCUCAGUGCGUCAACUUUAAUACCUGCUUUGCUUUUUUGUUGUUGUUUCCCAAUAGUAGUUGGAUAUAUGUUUUAAUUUGUCCUUUUAUUUGAAAGGUAUAUAUAUGACCAGACAGCUCAACAGCUAGCUAUAUUGGAGUAGGUCCCUGUCAGCUGACAGAAGGGCGUGAUGUAUGAACCAUAACAGCGCGCUGUAUUGAAUAUACUGCUGGUGGUAUACUAUACAUGAGAAAGAAUCAUCCGAGAUAGUCUAUCAACAUAGAGAUAGGGACCAAGCAAAGCCCUCUCUUCCUCAGCUCAUUGCUCUCACACAGCAGCGCCUUCUCGCUAUUACUUGAACUGUUGAUGGCUUGUUGAUCCCCCACGCCAGUCACCUGCUGUUUUGAACCCACAGCUUCCACGUACUUGGCCUGCAAUGUUUCAAAAAGGUAGAACAGGUGUAAGAGUACAGCAAGGGAGGAAAUAACCACCAUUUUCCAAAAAGUUAGAUGCAAUAAUAAAGGGCUGUGUAGCUAGGUCGAGCAAGCGUACUAUACCAUGAGCUGCAGGUGGUGGGGCAUGUUGGACUCUUUCGCGCCAUCCAUGGCUGCCAUUUGCUUCAAGCCGAAACUCUCCAUGGUAGCCAUCUGCACAAGGAGAGUCCAUUACAACCACGUUACAACUUACAAGACAAGCUAUAUACAUACCGUGCUGUCUGCUGUGCUGUUUGAAAUAAAAUAAGAGGAUGAUCUCUUGCUAACCUUUUGGCCAGCUGCAGAAGAGCAGGCGGUGUCCUGUAGGGACUCGUCGUCGUCGCCGCCGCACAUGAGCUGAGACGUGAUAAAGGAGGAGGCGUCGGCGUCGCCAAAGGAAUCGAAGGAAGAAGAGAAGCUGCCGCCGCCGCCAGAGACCGCCGCUUGCGGAUCAUCCGUCGUUGCGAUGUCGUCUUGCGGCAUGGAGGCCAGGAAGUUCGCGAUGUGCACGGCCCAGCUGCUCUCGCCGCCGGCUGAUGACAUGGUGGACGUGGCCGCCGGGGUGAUGACGCACGAGGAGGAGGCUGAUUUGUUAUCCAUUGUUCUGACCGGUAGUGCCCGGCCGGAAGAAACAGUAGGAGUUGCAGCGGCAGCUCUUGCUAUCGAUCUGUUGUGCUGGUGCUGCUUUGUUUUCCGGAUGGGAAUAUGGGAUGGGAGUGAAGAACGUUCGCUAGAGUCUGUGGAUAUAUAUACAGGUCCUAUUACUCCUAUAGUGGAUGAACCGACUAGUCGGUAGCAGCGGCAGCAGCACAUGAGUAUGUAUAUUUAAACUGUUUGCGAGUAGAAUACAGUUGAGAAA